This is a long non-coding RNA of Scophthalmus maximus (turbot), 422 nucleotides long. RefSeq lists it as uncharacterized. The record is from RefSeq and is a predicted model, not a curated record. The transcript has 3 exons. NCBI's taxonomy places the organism in Eukaryota, Metazoa, Chordata, Actinopteri, Pleuronectiformes, Scophthalmidae.
GGUCAUCAGUGUCUUUGAUUUUAAUGACAGACAGAACGUUUAUUGAAAAGACAUUGAUAGAGGCAAUAGUUGAGAGCAACAUAAAACAAACCCGCCAUUGCCGUCUCCUUGAACCGCCUGGAGCUGUUUGCCGACUGAAGACCGAAAUAGAAUUAAUGAAGAAUCUCGUUCGUCUUCCAAGACUCAACCGGCAUGGCGUUAUGCAAUGGGCGCGUGCCGAAGAGGCGCGGGCCUGAACCUGAGCCCGACGCAAUGAGACUUCAGACCAGACUGGCUUCAGUGACACACUUGGAUCCAACAGAGACAUUGGAACAAGCUGCCCUUUCCCCUUCAUUUCUCCUCCGCUCUCCCUGUCGCUCCGGCAGUCGUCUCACCGAAUAACGGAGCGGCUGUCACCCCCCCUUGUGCGACAGGUGUGUGCG